Molecule: long non-coding RNA, 968 nt
Organism: Nematolebias whitei (Rio pearlfish)
Lineage: Eukaryota; Metazoa; Chordata; Actinopteri; Cyprinodontiformes; Rivulidae
Exons: 4
Source: RefSeq, a predicted model, not a curated record
GUGUAGCUGUUAGCAUGUGUAGCUGUUAGCAUGUGUAGCUGUUAGCAGCCACGUGUCGUCGCGUGCUUGGAUAAUCUAGUCUCGUGACUGUGUCUCUAUUUUUCUGUGUAGGAGCAGGAGCUUCACGUCAGACCUCCACCAACCACAUGUUUGUUCUCUAACAGUUUCCAGUGACCAGUCUCACUUCAGGCUGACUGUAGAACAUCUCCAGAUGUUGCUCACCAGAUGUCACCAAGAUCUCAUGUGGAAUUUCAAAAUAAAGGCCCUCCAAAGUUGGACAUUUUCCAUAGAAUUGUCCCUAAGUUUCUGUGUUUGUUGCUCGUUCUUCAGGAUGUUGUAGAAACAGCGAGGAAACUCUGUGAACCACACAGUCUUUCUGGUGGAUCAAGUUCAGCAGAAGACGAUUCAAAAGCUGCAAAAACAUUUAGAUUGCCAGAGAAGUGAUGAAGACUUUCCUGAUAUUCCAGCAUCAGGUUUGAAAGAUCCAAACUGGAAAUCAUAAAGUAAAGAGGAAUGGGUCAACAGAUACUGACUGCAUCAGGUUUGGUCCUGAAGGUUUGAUUUCAACAUUCUAAUAGACUUACGCAUUAUUGUCCAACAAGGAAGUGACUAAAAAUAGUUCACUCUGAAGAUAAUAAUAUUUUAAAGUACAAAGGUUGUUAAGAAGGUGAAGAGGAGACGAAUAAUAUCUGAUUGGUUGAGCUGAGAAAUGAAAAGGCUGAAUGUGAUUCAAAUAAGUGAUAAAGUUCACAAUCACAUUUGACUCUUCAAGAGAAUUGUGUGUAAAUAAAUCAAACAAUGAUGUGUUUGAAGCUUUAAGGUCAAAAUGCAGGUAAAUCCAGUCAGAAAUGUUCUUUGUAUAAAACUAAACACUAGAACUCGACCUGACUGGAUAAAUGUGGAUCCAGCAACACAAUUCCCUCAAAAACUACGUUUCUACUGCAGCUUUGCAAAGUAUUACUGUGUGA